Vigna angularis (adzuki bean) is the source of this 352-nucleotide long non-coding RNA. RefSeq lists it as uncharacterized. The record is from RefSeq and is a predicted model, not a curated record. Lineage: Eukaryota; Viridiplantae; Streptophyta; Magnoliopsida; Fabales; Fabaceae. The transcript has 3 exons.
UCUGUCACACAAGUCAAUUCUUGUGCUUAUCUUGCUUUUCCAAUUCAAAUUUAAAGCAACAUGCACUAGGUUUUUAUUUCUCUUGUGAACUUUGGUUUGUUCAGAAAAUAUAUUCUAGCUAGACACAUAAAAUAGAUCAUUUUCAGCGGAUUCAUUCGAGCACCGCUGUCCCUUUCAACUCCAUGCUCUUUUUCGAUGAUGAGAAUAGGAACAUCCAAUCGGAUUGUGUUGCUACAAGAUGGUACACAGCCCCAAAGCUGUAUGGCUCCUUCUUUUCUAAGCUGCAGUUGAAGCACUGUGAAGAUGGUAGAGAAAGUGGAAGAGUUUAACAUGAAGUGAGUGAUAGAGGAAU